This 491-nucleotide ribosomal RNA is filed under the name uncultured bacterium. RNAcentral's name for it is "partial 16S ribosomal RNA". It matches the Rfam family "Bacterial small subunit ribosomal RNA", at positions 899 to 1397 of the family's 1533-position model. The record is from RNAcentral.
ACUCAAAUGAAUUGACGGGGACCCGCACAACCUGUGGAGCGUGUGGUUCAAUUCGAGACUAAACGAAAGACCUCACCAGGGCUUGACAUGCUACCGUACAUUCUUUCAGAAAUGAGAGGAAAUCCGCAAGGAUGGUAGCACAGGUGCUGCAUGGCUGUCGUCAGCUCGUGCCGUGAGGUGUUCCCUUAAGUGGGGAAACGAGCGCAACCCCCAUCUAAUGUUAAAUUAUUCAUUAGGAACGGUCCCAAUUUUGUUGGGAAGGAAGGAGGGGUAGACGUCAAGUCAGCACGGCCCUUAUGCCCUGGGCCACACACACACUACAAUGGCGAAUAACAACGAGCUGCAAGCUAGUAAUAGCAAGCUAAUCUCUAAAAUUUCGCCUCAGUUCAGAUCGAGGUCUGCAACUCGACCUCGUGAAGCCGGAAUAGGUAGUAAUCGCGGAUCAGCGUGCCGCGGUGAAUACGUUCUCGGGUCUUGUACACACCGCCCGU